RNAcentral lists this ribosomal RNA (480 nucleotides) under uncultured bacterium. Its description in RNAcentral is "bacterial SSU rRNA". It matches the Rfam family "Bacterial small subunit ribosomal RNA", at positions 30 to 523 of the family's 1533-position model. The record is from RNAcentral.
AUUGAACGCUGGCGGAAUGCUUUACACAUGCAAGUCGAACGGCAGCACGGGUGCUUGCACCUGGUGGCGAGUGGCGAACGGGUGAGUAAUGCACCGGAACGUAUCCAAUAAUGGGGGAUAACGCACCGAAAGGUGUGCUAAUACCGCAUACGCCCUGAGGGGGAAAGCGGGGGGAUCGUAAGACCUCGCGUUAAUGGAGCGGCCGAUGCCGGAUUAGCUAGUUGGUGAGGUAAAGGCUCACCAAGGCGACGAUCCGUAGCUGGUCUGAGAGGACGACCAGCCACACUGGAACUGAGACACGGUCCAGACUCCUACGGGAGGCAGCAGUGGGGAAUUUUGGACAAUGGGCGCAAGCCUGAUCCAGCCAUUCCGCGUGAGUGAAGAAGGCCUCGGGUUGUAAACUGCUUUUAUACGUGAAGAAUAUGACGGUAACGUAUGAAUAAGGAUACGGCGUAACUACCGUGCCAGCAGCCGCGGUAA